AGUGAACGCUGGCGGUAGGCCUAACACAUGCCAGUCGAACGGCAGCACAGUAAGAGCUUGCUCUUACGGGUGGCGAGUGGCGGACGGGUGAGGAAUACAUCGGAAUCUACUUUUUCGUGGGGGAUAACGUAGGGAAACUUACUCUAAUACCGCAUACGACCUACGGGUGAAAGCAGGGGAUCUUCGGACCUUGCGCGAUUGAAUGAGCCGAUGUCGGAUUAGCUAGUUGGCGGGGUAAAGGCCCACCAAGGCGGCGAUCCGUAGCUGGUCUGAGAGGAUGGUCGGCCACACUGGAGGUGAGACACGGUCCAGGGUCCUAAGAGAGGCAGCAGUGGGGUAUAUUAGACAAUGGGCGCAAGUAUGAUCCAGCCAUAGCGCGUGUGUGACGGAGGCCUUCGGGUUGUAAAGACGUUUUGUUGGGAGAGAAAAGCAGUAGGUUAAGACCCAGCGGUACUGACGGUACCCAAAGAAUAAGCACCGGCUAACUUCGUG
RNAcentral lists this ribosomal RNA (492 nucleotides) under uncultured bacterium. Its description in RNAcentral is "partial 16S ribosomal RNA". It matches the Rfam family "Bacterial small subunit ribosomal RNA", at positions 29 to 507 of the family's 1533-position model. The record is from RNAcentral.